RNAcentral lists this ribosomal RNA (1008 nucleotides) under uncultured soil bacterium. Its description in RNAcentral is "bacterial SSU rRNA". It matches the Rfam family "Bacterial small subunit ribosomal RNA", at positions 8 to 980 of the family's 1533-position model. The record is from RNAcentral.
AGAGUUUGAUCCUGGCUCAGGACGAACGCUGGCGGCGUGCCUAAUACAUGCAAGUCGAGCGCAGGAAGCAAGUUGAUCCCCUUCGGGGGUGAUGCUUGUGGAAUGAGCGGCGGACGGGUGAGUAACACGUGGGCAACCUGCCUGUAAGACCGGAAUAACCCCGGGAAACCGGGGCUAAUGCCGGGUAACACCUUCCCUCGCAUGAGGGAGGGUUAAAAGAUGGCUUCUCGCUAUCACUUACAGAUGGGCCCGCGGCGCAUUAGCUAGUUGGUGAGGUAACGGCUCACCAAGGCAACGAUGCGUAGCCGACCUGAGAGGGUGAUCGGCCACACUGGGACUGAGACACGGCCCAGACUCCUACGGGAGGCAGCAGUAGGGAAUCUUCCGCAAUGGACGAAAGUCUGACGGAGCAACGCCGCGUGAACGAUGAAGGUCUUCGGAUCGUAAAGUUCUGUUGUUAGGGAAGAACAAGUGCCGUGCGAAUAGAGCGGCACCUUGACGGUACCUAACGAGGAAGCCCCGGCUAACUACGUGCCAGCAGCCGCGGUAAUACGUAGGGGGCAAGCGUUGUCCGGAAUUAUUGGGCGUAAAGCGCGCGCAGGCGGUUCCUUAAGUCUGAUGUGAAAGCCCACGGCUCAACCGUGGAGGGUCAUUGGAAACUGGGGAACUUGAGGACAGAAGAGGAGAGUGGAAUUCCACGUGUAGCGGUGAAAUGCGUAGAUAUGUGGAGGAACACCAGUGGCGAAGGCGACUCUCUGGUCUGUUCUGACGCUGAGGUGCGAAAGCGUGGGUAGCAAACAGGAUUAGAUACCCUGGUAGUCCACGCCGUAAACGAUGAGUGCUAGGUGUUAGGGGCUUCCACCCCUUAGUGCUGAAGUUAACGCAUUAAGCACUCCGCCUGGGGAGUACGGCCGCAAGGCUGAAACUCGAAGGAAUUUGACGGGGGCCCGCACAAGCGGUGGAGCAUGGUGGUUUAAUUCGAAGCAACGCGAAGAACCUUACCAGGUC